Long non-coding RNA from Triplophysa dalaica, 299 nucleotides. RefSeq lists it as uncharacterized. The transcript has 3 exons. NCBI's taxonomy places the organism in Eukaryota, Metazoa, Chordata, Actinopteri, Cypriniformes, Nemacheilidae. The record is from RefSeq and is a predicted model, not a curated record.
CCGGAGUUCAACUAAAGCUGAUUGUGAAUAUUGGAAGAAGCAGUGAGAGGGUGAAAGCGGGUCUCUGGGUUUCAAGGGAAAAUGGGAGUCAAUAACAUGUUCCAGAUCCUCCAGACAGGCAGAAGGUCACCUUUGUGAGCUUGAAAGGACCAGACUGACCUCAUCCAUUCAAGAUCACCUGUAUUACCUUCAGUUUGUCAUUGCAAAACCAGCGCUUGGUGUAUUGCUUUGCCCAAAAAAGUGUGGAGACUUUGACUCAAAAUAUUGAUCAUGGCAUGAGGGUGAGUAAAUGAUUUUUC